UGACUCCGAGAAACCAUCAUCUCCAUUUUGUUUUUUUUUUAAGUAGCCAAGUUUCUCGGAGAUCGGGGCUUUUCUUCUCCUUGAUCCGUCUCAGAUUUCUUGCUUAAUAUGGAGAAUGUAAUCGAAUAAAAUAAAUAGCCUUUUUUAACCUCUAGGAGUUUCAUGGGGAUUUGCUUUAGCGCUCAAGGGCAGUUCCAAUUCUCUCAAAACCAAAACUCCUCUCAGAAGAAGACACCAGGACCAGGUAUCUCAAUCUUAUCACAUCGGAUUCGGAUCUCCUUUAAAAAAAACAAAUUGAAUUUUGCAGUGUAUCUAAUGAAUACGGAUUGUAAAGAGUCGUCGUCGUCGGUGGGUGGGAAACCGAGUCCAAGCGGUUUGCCUUUGCCUCCGAAAAACAUCAAAGAUCUGCAGUCCAAUCCUGGUUACGAGAACGUCGACAUCUUCACCUACGAGGAGAUGAAGUUAGCCACCAAGCAGUUCAGGCCUGAUUUCAUCCUCGGCGAGGGUGGUUUCGGCGUCGUCUACAAAGGUCUCGUUGAUGAGACCGUGCGGCCUGGUUACAACUCCACCAAAGUUGCUAUCAAAGAACUUAAUCCAGAGGGCUUUCAGGGAGAUCGCGAGUGGCUGGUAUAUAUGUGUAAUUGUGCUAUGUAUCUAGAGAGAGUUAUGUUUUUUCAAAGUGUUUGAUUUUUGUUGUUGUAGGCUGAAGUUAACUAUUUAGGACAGCUUAGUCAUCCCAACUUGGUCAAGCUUAUUGGCUACUGCUGUGAAGAUGACCACAGGUUGUUAGUCUAUGAAUACAUGUCAUUGGGAAGCCUCGAGAAACAUCUCUUUCGAAGUAUGUUUCUGUUUUCCUCCUUUGUUUGUUUGUGAUUUAAGUCUUUAUAUAAUAUGAAAUGUUUCUUUCUCUUGGCAGGAGUUGGUUGCACUUUGACAUGGUCCAAACGAGUGAAGAUCGCUCUACACGCAGCCAAGGGUCUCGCCUUUCUUCAUGGUGCUGAACGCUCCGUCAUCUAUCGAGAUCUCAAGACUGCCAACAUAUUGCUCGACGAGGUCUGCUCUGUUUUCAGAUUUUAGAAUUGUUAGUGAAGUUACUACAGUCUUGUUUCGAUUUGUCUGUCUAUGCUGCCCCCCCUCCUGAAAGGUGUAAUGCUUGUGCAGUGUUACAAUGCUAAACUCGCUGACUUUGGACUAGCCAAAGAUGGCCCCAGCGGAGAUCAAACGCAUGUGUCAACACGUGUUAUGGGCACUUACGGAUACGCUGCUCCUGAGUAUGUUAUGACAGGUCUGUCUGUCUUUGCUAAUUUUCCAUUCCCACUUUUCAUAGCUGUUUUUAAAAUGACUCUAUUUGUUGUUGUAAUUAGGGCAUUUGACAUCGAGAAGUGAUGUUUAUGGAUUUGGGGUUCUUCUCCUUGAGAUGCUCCUUGGGAAAAGGGCAAUGGACAAAAGCAGACCUUGCCGGGAGCAUAACUUGGUCGAGUGGGCAAGACCGCUACUCAAUCACAACAAAAAGCUUUUGAGGAUCAUAGACCCUCGAAUGGAUGGGCAGUACACCACCAAGGCGUUGAUGAAAGUAGCUGAUUUGGCAUACCAAUGCUUAAGCCAAAACCCGAAAGGAAGACCCCUCAUGAGUCAUGUAGUAGAAGUCCUCGAGACUCUCAAGGAGGACGGUAAUGCCCAAGAGGAAGUCAUGGCUAAUCUCCAUAGCAGAGGCAAGUCUGUAACUUUAUAUCAAGCAGCUCCUUGUGAUUCUUCCCAAGGCACAAGAAACGUUGAUGGACAGAGGAGGAGUGGUAGAAGCAAGAGCGAAGCUUCCGUGGAUGUUUCUGCUCUUGUUUCAGACUCGGAUCCGGAAUCUACCAAAGUUUAAGACUCAAAACAAGAAAGAUUCACAAGUGAAUUGAGGAUUUAUGAUCAAGAAAGGUAGCAGAGUUGGGUUAAGUGUAUAAAUAAGCUGAGUCUUCGUUUUGGGGAUCCUUUUUUUCUCUUUUUAAUCUUUUUGGGGAUUACGAAUAUUAGUGCAAUAUGCAAUUUGAUCAACCUUUGAAAUUCAAAUGGAUUUUUGUUUUGAUCAAAGAAAAUGGUAUAUUUGACAAACUGAUUGCAUAACUUGGUAAUGCAUAGCAAUAUUAUAUAGCAUAUGAUAGGAGCACAUGUGUCUCUAUUCUUGUUUUGGUACAUAACAUGAUAAGACGCUGUCAGUUUGGUUGAGCCCAUGGAUCGAUCUGUGAACCUCCUGGAUCUAGCCUUAGGGUUUGAUGAGCCAUCGCCACUAAGAGGGAAGGUAGUGCUGAUCGAGGACUGUGUGGAGACGAGUGGUUCCUUUGUGCUUCACCAGAUGAUGAAGCGUGUUCUCUCCCCUCAUUCCUCUGAUUCCCUUAUCUUUCUCGCCUUUGCUCGCCCUUUCUCUCAUUACGAUCGAGUUCUGCGUAAACUCGUAAUCAUCCACAAUCCUUCUUUUUUUUCUUUUUUCUUUUUAUGUUCAUGGUUCUCAUUGUCUUACCAUGUUGGUCUGACAGGGAUGCAAUCUAGCUACUCAAAAGACAAACAAUCGAUUGGUUUUCGUUGACAUGCUCAUGAUGCAAUGCUCAGGUAAACUGGUGUUCUCCUAGUCAUUCGAGUGUUAGACGUACUUUUAGUUGGACUGUCGAUGUCUGAGAGUGCCUUGGCCUUAGGGAGAAUUAGGACAUCUCUAGAUCUGGCUCCUAACUUUUGGUUAUCUCGAUUGUUUUAUCACCAUUUCUUCUUUGAAAGCGACCACUUAAGCAAAUAUAGUAGCAUAUUGACUCUGCUCCCUGCAAAUCAGAUUUGGAAUAAUAUAAUUUUUUUUUUAACACAGAUAAUGAGAGUGGAGUUGCGAAGCUAUUUCGGGAGAUACAAGGAACAGUUGGAAAGCUACGCAGUGUGACUAAUAGCAACAUAACUGUUAUGGUGGAUGACAUGUCUCUCCUGGAAAUUGCUGCUGCCAAUAGCAAUUCAGAUCACGUCUUGGACUUCCUUCAUUACUGCCACACCUUAACUUCUGAAAGCGUAAGCUUUAUUCUUCUUUACUCUAUUAACCCCUUCUUAAUAACUUUUUUUCUCUACCAACAGAAUUGUUCGGUGGUCACUCUCAAUCACGAAGAUAUAUACUCGAGCAUGGAGAGACCUGCGUAUUUGCUACAGAUGGUAUGCCUUGCGGAUAUUGUGAUAAAAGCAGAGCCUUUAGCCUCAGGUUUAGCAAAUGACGUACAUGGCCAAGUAAAUCUCUCCUCCUCCUCCUUUUCUUUGGAAUCAUUAGAAACUAAUCUUUUGUGUUUGGCGUAAUACUAAUACAGCUGACAGUUGUGAACAAGGGGAUGAUAAGCAGCAAGUCGGGAAAAGGAAGCUCGAGGAACAAGUUGCAGAAUUUUCAAUUCAGGAUCAAGGAAAAUGGUAUUGAGUAUUUCUACCCUGGUUGCAGCAGAAACUGAGAGGAUUUGGAGAUAGUUUUUGACGGUUAUAAAUGUUGUAUGUUAGUGAGAUAUGCAGCUAAGACACGUGUGUGUGUGUGUGCGCUUUGGCAUAUGGAUGAGGAUUCUUUGACGGUUAUAAACUGAGGAUUCUUUGACUUGGUCGAAACACUGUUUUUCUUCUUUAAAAUUGGUUUAAACGGGCUUUAUUCUACAAAGUAUUGUUUCGUAGUAUUUUAUCCGGGUCGGGUUUAGUGUAACCGGAUCCUAAAUUCGUAACGAAAGAGAGAAGUCUCAUUCGUUUUCAACACCGACCAUUGGAGGGGGUCUAAUGUAUGGCUGGGACCUGUUUGGUGACGUGGAGAAAUAUAAUUGGUUAAAAAGUAAAUAAGAGUUAAGAGGGUUGGCUCUUCUGAUUUGGCGGCUAGUCUCUGAAAUUCCAUCGAUUCCAACGGAUCAUUCUCUCUCUCUCUACAAUUAUUCUUCCUUCCUUUUAUCUUUUUUGUUUUUCAUAUCUCUCUCUCUGCCUGACUCCGAGAAACCAUCAUCUCCAUUUUGUUUUUUUUUUAAGUAGCCAAGUUUCUCGGAGAUCGGGGCUUUUCUUCUCCUUGAUCCGUCUCAGAUUUCUUGCUUAAUAUGGAGAAUGUAAUCGAAUAAAAUAAAUAGCCUUUUUUAACCUCUAGGAGUUUCAUGGGGAUUUGCUUUAGCGCUCAAGGGCAGUUCCAAUUCUCUCAAAACCAAAACUCCUCUCAGAAGAAGACACCAGGACCAGGUAUCUCAAUCUUAUCACAUCGGAUUCG
Molecule: long non-coding RNA, 4231 nt
Filed under: Brassica napus (rape)
Lineage: Eukaryota; Viridiplantae; Streptophyta; Magnoliopsida; Brassicales; Brassicaceae
Description: long non-coding RNA (BNAP_LNC007646)
Source: RNAcentral